GCUGGAAUGGUCUAGUUGGUUAUGACGACUGCCUCACACGCAGUAGGUUCCGAGUUCGACUUUCGGUUCCAGUA
Molecule: transfer RNA, 74 nt
Filed under: Perkinsus olseni
Lineage: Eukaryota; Perkinsozoa; Perkinsida; Perkinsidae
Rfam family: tRNA
About the family: Transfer RNA (tRNA) molecules are approximately 80 nucleotides in length. Their secondary structure includes four short double-helical elements and three loops (D, anti-codon, and T loops). Further hydrogen bonds mediate the characteristic L-shaped molecular structure. tRNAs have two regions of fundamental functional importance: the anti-codon, which is responsible for specific mRNA codon recognition, and the 3' end, to which the tRNAs corresponding amino acid is attached (by aminoacyl-tRNA synthetases). tRNAs cope with the degeneracy of the genetic code in two manners: having more than one tRNA (with a specific anti-codon) for a particular amino acid; and 'wobble' base-pairing, i.e. permitting non-standard base-pairing at the 3rd anti-codon position.
Source: Rfam by way of RNAcentral